GGCGAGGGGAGUGAAAAAGAACCUGAAACCGUGUACGUACAAGCAGUGGGAGCACAGGUUUACCUGUGUGACUGCGUACCUUUUGUAUAAUGGGUCAGCGACUUAUAUUCUGUAGCAAGGUUAACCGAAUAGGGGAGCCGGAGGGAAACCGAGUCUUAAUUGGGCGUUAAGUUGCAGGGUAUAGACCCGAAACCCGGUGAUCUAGCCAUGGGCAGGUUGAAGGUUGGGUAACACUAACUGGAGGACCGAACCGAC
Molecule: ribosomal RNA, 255 nt
Filed under: Salmonella enterica subsp. enterica serovar Derby
Lineage: Bacteria; Pseudomonadati; Pseudomonadota; Gammaproteobacteria; Enterobacterales; Enterobacteriaceae
Also listed under: 4 other names
Description: partial 23S ribosomal RNA
Rfam family: Bacterial large subunit ribosomal RNA
Source: RNAcentral